AAUCCAUAGGUUAAUGAGGCGAACCGGGGGAACUGAAACAUCUAAGUACCCCGAGGAAAAGAAAUCAACCGAGAUUCCCCCAGUAGCGGCGAGCGAACGGGGAGGAGCCCAGAGCCUGAAUCAGCAUGUGUGUUAGUGGAAGCGUCUGGAAAGGCGCGCGAUACAGGGUGACAGCCCCGUACACAAAAGCGCAUGUGCUGUGAGCUCGAUGAGUAGGGCGGGACACGUGGUAUCCUGUCUGAAUAUGGGGGGACCAUCCUCCAAGGCUAAAUACUCCUGACUGACCGAUAGUGAACCAGUACCGUGAGGGAAAGGCGAAAAGAACCCCGGCGAGGGGAGUGAAAAAGAACCUGAAACCGUGUACGUACAAGCAGUGGGAGCACAGGUUUACCUGUGUGACUGCGUACCUUUUGUAUAAUGGGUCAGCGACUUAUAUUCUGUAGCAAGGUUAACCGAAUAGGGGAGCCGGAGGGAAACCGAGUCUUAAUUGGGCGUUAAGUUGCAGGGUAUAGACCCGAAACCCGGUGAUCUAGCCAUGGGCAGGUUGAAGGUUGGGUAACACUAACUGGAGGACCGAACCGACUAAUGUUGAAAAAUUAGCGGAUGACCUGUGGCUGGGGGUGAAAGGCCAAUCAAACCGGGAGAUAGCUGGUUCUCCCCGAAAGCUAUUUAGGUAGCGCCUCGUGAAUUCAUCUCCGGGGGUAGAGCACUGUUUCGGCUAGGGGGCCAUCCCGGCUUACCAACCCGAUGCAAACUGCGAAUACCGGAGAAUGUUAUCACGGGAGACACACGGCGGGUGCUAACGUCCGUCGUGAAGAGGGAAACAACCCAGACCGCCAGCUAAGGUCCCAAAGUCAUGGUUAAGUGGGAAACGAUGUGGGAAGGCCCAGACAGCCAGGAUGUUGGCUUAGAAGCAGCCAUCAUUUAAAGAAAGCGUAAUAGCUCACUGGUCGAGUCGGCCUGCGCGGAAGAUGUAACGGGGCUAAACCAUGCACCGAAGCUGCGGCAGCGAACGUAUCACUUAAAGCGAUUCAGCGGGUUACGAUUGACGGAGCGAAGCGACGUCAAAGCGUAUACAAAGUCGAGUCGGUUUAAGGAUACGUUCGUUGGGUAGGGGAGCGUUCUGUAAGCCUGCGAAGGUGGCCUGUGAGGGUUGCUGGAGGUAUCAGAAGUGCGAAUGCUGACAUAAGUAACGAUAAAGCGGGUGAAAAGCCCGCUCGCCGGAAGACCAAGGGUUCCUGUCCAACGUUAAUCGGGGCAGGGUGAGUCGACCCCUAAGGCGAGGCCGAAAGGCGUAGUCGAUGGGAAACGGGUUAAUAUUCCCGUACUUGGUGUUACUGCGAAGGGGGGACGGAGAAGGCUAUGUUGGCCGGGCGACGGUUGUCCCGGUUUAAGCGUGUAGGUGUGUGUUCCAGGUAAAUCCGGUUCACUUUAACACUGAGGCGUGAUGACGAGGCACUACGGUGCUGAAGCAACAAAUGCCCUGCUUCCAGGAAAAGCCUCUAAGCAUCAGGUAACAUCAAAUCGUACCCCAAACCGACACAGGUGGUCAGGUAGAGAAUACCAAGGCGCUUGAGAGAACUCGGGUGAAGGAACUAGGCAAAAUGGUGCCGUAACU
This 1618-nucleotide ribosomal RNA is filed under the name Salmonella enterica subsp. enterica serovar Infantis. RNAcentral describes it as "partial 23S ribosomal RNA". It matches the Rfam family "Bacterial large subunit ribosomal RNA", at positions 161 to 1735 of the family's 2925-position model. The record is from RNAcentral. Lineage: Bacteria; Pseudomonadati; Pseudomonadota; Gammaproteobacteria; Enterobacterales; Enterobacteriaceae.